This 96-nucleotide microRNA precursor is filed under the name Nicotiana attenuata. Its description in RNAcentral is "MIR6152 microRNA precursor family". It matches the Rfam family "MIR6152 microRNA precursor family". The record is from Rfam by way of RNAcentral. Lineage: Eukaryota; Viridiplantae; Streptophyta; Magnoliopsida; Solanales; Solanaceae.
UGGACAGAUUAUUGUAUUCGACUGUAUUCAUGGCGUGAAACAGGGGAUUACACUAUUUUUAAACGAAAAGUGAAUCAAUUAACAUAAUAGAUUCCU